This 388-nucleotide ribosomal RNA is filed under the name Agasicles hygrophila. RNAcentral describes it as "eukaryotic LSU rRNA". The record is from RNAcentral. Lineage: Eukaryota; Metazoa; Arthropoda; Insecta; Coleoptera; Chrysomelidae.
GAUCGAAAGAGGAAAUUCAUUCGCGUUUCGAUGAUCGAAGUCUGGCGUGUUUAUGACAGAUUGUAUAUAUUUAUUUAUGUAUUUGUCCGCAUAUCACGUUUAACUUUAUCGAUUUCGAACGCGUGCACUUUUCCUCCAGUAGGACGUCGCGAUCCGUUGGGUGUCUGUCUAAGAAUUAAGGUGGAGACCAUGUUGCUUUUUAGUUGCGUGGACCCUUAAAUUUCCGACAGACUCGCUCGACGGUAUCAAAAUGGCGCAAGGCCGCUACAUAUUAAAAAUUAGCGUUCGGCCCGUAGCAAGCACGUUUCGUGUUUGACGGCAAUUCGGACCUGGUGCCGAUUCCGUUCCGGAACGACUGUUGGUUAUGGUGUUCUCGAACAGACCUUGU